Long non-coding RNA from Bos taurus (domestic cattle), 786 nucleotides. The record is from Ensembl. Lineage: Eukaryota; Metazoa; Chordata; Mammalia; Artiodactyla; Bovidae.
CGCCUGCAAGCGCCCUCUGCCCUCACUGAAUCCCUGCUAAAGCCACAGGUAGCUAGCUACUCUGGACGAAUAGCCUUUCCCCGGAGGCAGCAGGCAGGUGAAUUUUAUUUUUUUUACUCCCGUUUCAAAAUUUUAUUUCACACUUUCAGUUACUUUAUAGGACACAGUGUAAGUCCAUCGAGGCAGAUCAAGAGUUUGCAUGAACCAUCCUCUCCAGUCUCCGCGAUGGUCUGUGGCAAGAACCUGGCGUUUGAUGUGACAUUUUUCCCCCCCAGGGGCUGCAAAGUCACCAUUACUCGCGCGGCUCAUCCUCAGAAGGAGCAGCCGAGGGCCCGCAGGUGGCGGGGGCAGGGGAGACUCCAAAGGACUAAGCGCGGGCCGCGGCGAAGGCGCGCGCGGUCUGGGAGGAACCUGCUCGGCCAGCGCGGUGCGCGGGCCUCGGGGCUCAGGGCGCCACCUGCUGGCGGCUGGGUCGACGCCGCGAACCGGCCCAGAGGAGCCGAGGUGGUGCCGACCCGGGGAGCCCCUCUUUCCCCGCCAGGCUCCACGUUUACCGGCUCGGAAAGCCAUCCCACCCGAGGGCGCCGCGAAUUAGCGACCCAGCAUGUCCCAGCGCCGAGCUUUCGUUCUGGCCGACACCCGGGGGCCCAAAUGCAGGCGGAAAACAUAACGAGAUCCUGCCCAACAAACUGUCUGUCUCAUCUCCACAACUAAAUUGGAAGCACCUGGAAAGUCGGGAACAAGGUUUGAUGUCAUCAUUCGGCCAGGGACAUGUGUUGACCAAAA